This 252-nucleotide ribosomal RNA is filed under the name uncultured bacterium. RNAcentral's name for it is "partial 16S ribosomal RNA". It matches the Rfam family "Bacterial small subunit ribosomal RNA", at positions 524 to 775 of the family's 1533-position model. The record is from RNAcentral.
UACAGAGGGUGCGAGCGUUGUUCGGAAUUAUUGGGCGUAAAGGGCGCGUAGGCGGUGCCACAAGUCACUUGUGAAAUCCCCGGGCUUAACUCGGGGCCUGCAGGCGAAACUGUGGUGCUGGAGUAUGGGAGAGGUGCGUGGAAUUCCCGGUGUAGCGGUGAAAUGCGCAGAUAUCAGGAGGAACACCAAUGGCGAAGGCAGCUCGCUGGGACGGUACUGACGCUGAGACGCGAAAGCGUGGGGAGCAAACAG